UACGUAGGGGGCAAGCGUUGUCCGGAUUUAUUGGGCGUAAAGAGCGUGUAGGCGGCUAGAUAGGUCCGUUGUGAAAACUCGAGGCUCAACCUCGAGACGUCGAUGGAAACCAUCUGGCUAGAGUCCGGAAGAGGAGAGUGGAAUUCCUGGUGUAGCGGUGAAAUGCGCAGAUAUCAGGAAGAACACCCGUGGCGAAGGCGGCUCUCUGGGCCGAUACUGACGCUGAGGAGCGAAAGUGUGGGGAGCGAACAGG
This 253-nucleotide ribosomal RNA is filed under the name uncultured bacterium. Its description in RNAcentral is "partial 16S ribosomal RNA". It matches the Rfam family "Bacterial small subunit ribosomal RNA", at positions 524 to 776 of the family's 1533-position model. The record is from RNAcentral.